Molecule: long non-coding RNA, 636 nt
Filed under: Setaria viridis
Lineage: Eukaryota; Viridiplantae; Streptophyta; Magnoliopsida; Poales; Poaceae
Description: long non-coding RNA (SVIR_LNC006038)
Source: RNAcentral
GGGAGAUGGGAGCUAAACUUUAGUCCUAUCACAUCGGAUAUUUAGAUGCUAAUUAGGAGGACUGAAUAUGAGCUAAUUACAAAACUAAUAGCAGAACCCAUAGGUUAAAUCAUGAGACGAAUCUAUUGAGCCUAAUUAAUCCAUCAUUAGCGAAUGGUUACUGUAGCACCACAUUGUCAAAUCAUGAACUAAUUAGGCUUAAUAGAUUCAUCUCGCGAUUUAGUCUAGAGGUUGUGUAAUUAAUUUUAUAAUUAGUCUAGAUUUAAUACUCCUAAUUAGUGUCCAAACAUUCGACGUGGCGGGGACUAUCCAAAGCACCAAUUUCAUUCUAUCGCUAUCGGCAUUCGGCACUGUUGUGAUUUGUGAAAAAUCUGACAGCGACUGCUUUCUUGAGGCAUUCCAUUUUAUUACAUUAGGGUACAUAAGGUUAUUCCUUUAUCUCAAUCAACUCGGCAGCCCCUUGUUCAACUGUUGCAGUGUAUUUUAUUAAGGCAAGUAGUAGUAGUAGUAGUUCCAAUAUGGUAUCUUCAAUUUAUUGUUUCUAGAAUGUUCCAAUAUGAUCUUCAGGACCAUCUUAUUCAUACGAUGGGCUGAAAGCUUUGAUGCUCCAACAACCGAGAGAGAAUCGUUCAAGCA